RNAcentral lists this ribosomal RNA (468 nucleotides) under uncultured bacterium. RNAcentral describes it as "partial 16S ribosomal RNA". It matches the Rfam family "Bacterial small subunit ribosomal RNA", at positions 28 to 507 of the family's 1533-position model. The record is from RNAcentral.
GACGAACGCUGGCGGCGUGCUUAACACAUGCAAGUCGAACGGAAAGGCCCUGCUUUUGUGGGGUGCUCGAGUGGCGAACGUGUGAGUAACACGUGAGUAACCUGCCCUUGACUUUGGGAUAACUUCAGGAAACUGGGGCUAAUACCUGAUAGGAGCUCCUGCUGCAUGGUGGGGGUUGGAAAGUUUCGGCGGUUGGGGAUGGACUCGCGGCUUAUCAGCUUGUUGGUGGGGUAGUGGCUUACCAAGGCUUUGACGGGUAGCCGGCCUGAGAGGGUGACCGGCCACAUUGGGACUGAGAUACGGCCCAGACUCCUACGGGAGGCAGCAGUGGGGAAUAUUGCACAAUGGGCGGAAGCCUGAUGCAGCAACGCCGCGUGCGGGAUGACGGCCUUCGGGUUGUAAACCGCUUUCGCCUGUGACGAAGCGUGAGUGACGGUAAUGGGUAAAGAAGCACCGGCUAACUACGUG